CUACGACCGGCGAUUGAUUCCCUGCUGUGCUAGCGACGUUUCCCACGCCUAGCUAACGUGCCGCACCUAUUUUCCCGGCACUCGACAGCAACUUUGCGACGCGCUCACCAUUUGCCCAUUAUAACGUGCGGUUUUAUUUCCUUACCAUUUGGACGUCGCGAACUGCCCAUACCGACAGAAAUGGAUGAUUCCAUGGAGACCCCGGAGCAGCUUCCCGUCUCAACCGGGCUGCCUCGUACCACACCCCCAUCGUCUCCGGAACGUGUGCGUUAUCGUAAGAGUGGUAAACCGUUGACGUCUGAUAUCGGAGAGAGUGACUCGUCUUCCGAUGAAGAGAGCGUAAGCAUUCGACCACCGACCCCAGUCCGACAGCUGCCUCCCGAGCAGCAUGUGCGCACGCCUUCACCUCCGCUGCCGUUUGAUCCAGUGCAUCGCGUUGAGUUUUCAGCGGGUGAUGGUGU
This is a long non-coding RNA of Paramacrobiotus metropolitanus, 461 nucleotides long. RefSeq lists it as uncharacterized. NCBI's taxonomy places the organism in Eukaryota, Metazoa, Tardigrada, Eutardigrada, Parachela, Macrobiotidae. The transcript has 3 exons. The record is from RefSeq and is a predicted model, not a curated record.